This 1256-nucleotide ribosomal RNA is filed under the name Candida tropicalis. Its description in RNAcentral is "SSU rRNA". It matches the Rfam family "Eukaryotic small subunit ribosomal RNA", at positions 13 to 1315 of the family's 1831-position model. The record is from RNAcentral. Lineage: Eukaryota; Fungi; Ascomycota; Pichiomycetes; Serinales; Debaryomycetaceae.
CCUGCGCAGGUGCUCGUGUCGUGAGCAUGCAUGUCUUAAGUAUAAGCAAUUUAUACAGUGAAACUGCGAAUGGCUCAUUAAAUCAGUUAUCGUUUAUUUGAUAGUACCUUACUACUUGGAUAACCGUGGUAAUUCUAGAGCUAAUACAUGCUUAAAAUCCCGACUGUUUGGAAGGGAUGUAUUUAUUAGAUAAAAAAUCAAUGUCUUCGGACUCUUUGAUGAUUCAUAAUAACUUUUCGAAUCGCAUGGCCUUGUGCUGGCGAUGGUUCAUUCAAAUUUCUGCCCUAUCAACUUUCGAUGGUAGGAUAGUGGCCUACCAUGGUUUCAACGGGUAACGGGGAAUAAGGGUUCGAUUCCGGAGAGGGAGCCUGAGAAACGGCUACCACAUCCAAGGAAGGCAGCAGGCGCGCAAAUUACCCAAUCCCGACACGGGGAGGUAGUGACAAUAAAUAACGAUACAGGGCCCUUUCGGGUCUUGUAAUUGGAAUGAGUACAAUGUAAAUACCUUAACGAGGAACAAUUGGAGGGCAAGUCUGGUGCCAGCAGCCGCGGUAAUUCCAGCUCCAAAAGCGUAUAUUAAAGUUGUUGCAGUUAAAAAGCUCGUAGGUGAACCUGGGGAUUGAUCAACCGGUCCAUCUUUCUGAUGCGUACUGGACCCAACCGAGCCUUUCCUUCUGGCUAGCCUUUUGGCGAACCAGGACUUUUACUUUGAAAAAAUUAGAGUGUUCAAAGCAGGCCUUUGCUCGAAUAUAUUAGCAUGGAAUAAUAGAAUAGGACGUUAUGGUUCUAUUUUGUUGGUUUCUAGGACCAUCGUAAUGAUUAAUAGGGACGGUCGGGGGUAUCAGUAUUCAGUUGUCAGAGGUGAAAUUCUUGGAUUUACUGAAGACUAACUACUGCGAAAGCAUUUACCAAGGACGUUUUCAUUAAUCAAGAACGAAAGUUAGGGGAUCGAAGAUGAUCAGAUACCGUCGUAGUCUUAACCAUAAACUAUGCCGACUAGGGAUCGGUUGUUGUUCUUUUAUUGACGCAAUCGGCACCUUACGAGAAAUCAAAGUCUUUGGGUUCUGGGGGCGAGUAUGGUCGCAAGCUGAACUUUAAGGAUUGACGAAGGCACCACAGGGAGUGGAGCUGCGCUUAUUUGACUCAACACGGGGAAACUCACCAGGUUCCAGAACCAUAGAAUGGACAGGAUUGGAAGCUCUUCUGAUUUUGUGAUGUGGUCAUGGCGGUUCUAGUUGGUGGGAAGUUAAUUUGUC